This 922-nucleotide ribosomal RNA is filed under the name uncultured fungus. RNAcentral's name for it is "eukaryotic LSU rRNA". The stretch from base 283 to 922 matches the Rfam family "Eukaryotic large subunit ribosomal RNA", at positions 1 to 664 of the family's 3401-position model. The record is from RNAcentral. Lineage: Eukaryota; Fungi.
AUCGAUGAAGAACGCAGCGAAAUGCGAUAAGUAAUGUGAAUUGCAGAAUUCAGCGAAUCAUCGAAUUUUUGAACGCACAUUGCGCCUCAGAGUAUUCUUUGAGGCAUACCUGUUCGAGCGUCGUUUAGACCAUAAGGCUUUGCCUUGCGUUGAUUAUUGGAGCUAUCCAGUAUUCUAAACUUGUUGGCGUCGUAGUUUGACCAAGACACAGCACAAUGUGACACUGAUUCAAUACUAAGACUGCUUAUCACAACACUGUCUUUCUUCGGAAAGACGUAGGUUCGACCUCGGAUCAGGUAAGACUACCCACUGAACUUAAGCAUAUCAAUAAGUGGAGGAAAAGAAACCAACAGGGAUUACCUCAGUAACGGCGAGUGAAGCGGUAAAAGCUCAAAUUUGAAAUCUGGUCCUAGACCCGAGUUGUAAUUUGUAGAGGAAUGUUCGGCGACGCCUAGGUCUGAGUCUUCUGGAAGGAAGCGCCUUUGAGGGUGAGAGCCCCGUAGGACUGAUGGCUGAACCAUGUGUACAUCCUUCGACGAGUCGAGUUGUUUGGGAAUGCAGCUCAAAACGGGUGGUAAAUUCCAUCUAAAGCUAAAUAUUGGCCAGAGACCGAUAGCACACAAGUAGAGUGAUCGAAAGAUGAAAAGCACUUUGGAAAGAGAGUGAAACAGUACGUGAAAUUGUUGAAAGGGAAGCGCUAGCGACCAGAUUUGGAAAUGACGUUCAGCGGUUCGCGUGGACCGUGUACUUCGUCUUUUACUUGCCAGCAUCGGUUUUCGGGGUUGGAUAAAAGCUUUGGGAACGUAGCUCUGCUUCGGUCGAGUGUUAUAGCCCUUUGCACAAUACAGCCACUGAAGACCGAGGAACGCCUUUUUGUAGGAUGCUGGCGUAAUGGUUGCUAGCGGCCCGUCUUGAAACACGG